This 258-nucleotide ribosomal RNA is filed under the name uncultured bacterium. RNAcentral's name for it is "partial 16S ribosomal RNA". It matches the Rfam family "Bacterial small subunit ribosomal RNA", at positions 335 to 612 of the family's 1533-position model. The record is from RNAcentral.
ACUCCUACGGGAGGCAGCAGUGGGAAUCUUGGACAAUGGGGCAACCGUGCAUCCAGCCAUGCCGCGUGAGUGAUGAAGGCCUUAGGGUCGUAAAGCUCUUUCGCCUGUGAAGAUAAUGACGGUAGCAGGUAAAGAAACCCGCGUACAUCCGUGCCAGCAGCCGCGGUAAUACGGAGGGGGUUAGCGUUGUUCGGAAUUACUGGGCGUAAAGCGCACGUAGGCGGAUCGGAAAGUUGGGGGUGAAAUCCCGGGGCUCAA